CUCUAUGGGUCCGCUAUUGGGGUGCUAUGGUCUCUAUGGGGUGGGUAUGGGGUACUGUGUAGGUUGUCCUAUGGGUGCCAUGGGUGUCCUAUGUCGGUUAUGGGUCUCUACGGGGCACUAUGGGGUGUCUAUGGGGUGGUUAUGGGGUUGCUAUGGGGUCUCUAUGGGGCGCUAUGGGGUGGUUAUGGGGCGCUAUGGGGUGGUUAUGGGUGGUUAUGCGGUCACUAUGGGGCGUAUCAGGGGUGGUUAUGGGGCAGUAUGGUGUGGUUAUGGGGCGCUAUGGGGUCGCUAUGGGGCGCUAUGGGGUGCUAUUGGGCGUCUAUAGGGUGUCUAUGGGUUACUAUGGGUCGCUAUGGGGCCGCUAUGGGUGUCUAUGGGUCACUAUGGGGUCUCUAUAGGGUGUCUAUGGGGUGGUUAUGGGGUCUCUAUGGGUCUCUAUGGGGUGGUUAUGGGGUGUCUAUAGGGUGUCCAUGGGGUGGUUAUGGGGUCUCUAUGGGUCUCUAUGGGUCCCUAUGGGGUUAUGGGGUAUCUAUGGGUCCCUAUGGGGUAUCUAUGGGUCCCUAUGGGUCUCUAUGGGUCGCUAUGGGGUGGUUAUGGGGUAUCUAUGGGUUACCUGGUGCUCUGCGUCUCUCCAUGAGCUCACUCCGUGGCGCUGUGGGUUCAUCCUCAAAGUCAAACUCGGUUGGGACGGGAGCUCUGACAACAAAGUGAACCAAAAUCAGCCUUUUUUGACCCAAAAAUGGGUUUAAUGGCCUAAAUGGCAGCCAAUGACCCCAAAUGGCACCUAAUGGGGUCUCCCCCCUCAACCCCCCCCCCACAAUUGGGGUCUUCCCC
Molecule: long non-coding RNA, 834 nt
Filed under: Coturnix japonica (Japanese quail)
Lineage: Eukaryota; Metazoa; Chordata; Aves; Galliformes; Phasianidae
Description: lncRNA (ENSCJPG00005005877.1)
Source: RNAcentral